Molecule: ribosomal RNA, 634 nt
Filed under: Amecocerus giraudii
Lineage: Eukaryota; Metazoa; Arthropoda; Insecta; Coleoptera; Melyridae
Description: eukaryotic LSU rRNA
Rfam family: Eukaryotic large subunit ribosomal RNA
Source: RNAcentral
GGAGUCUAGCAUGUGCGCGAGUCAUUGGGACAUAACUAAACCUAAAGGCGUAAUGAAAGUGAAGGCCGACCUCGCGUCGGCCGAGGGAAGAUGGGUGCCGCUCAGUCGGUGCCUCGCAUUCCCGGGGCGUCUCGUUCUCACCGCGAGAAGAGGCGCACCAAGAGCGUACACGCUGGGACCCGAAAGAUGGUGAACUAUGCCUGGUCAGGACGAAGUCAGGGGAAACCCUGAUGGAGGUCCGUAGCGAUUCUGACGUGCAAAUCGAUCGUCGGAACUGGGUAUAGGGGCGAAAGACUAAUCGAACCAUCUAGUAGCUGGUUCCCUCCGAAGUUUCCCUCAGGAUAGCUGGCGCUCGCAGUGUACGAGUCUCAUCCGGUAAAGCGAAUGAUUAGAGGCAUUGGGGCCGAAACGGCCUCAACCUAUUCUCAAACUUUAAAUGGGUGAGAUCUCCGGCUUGCUUGAACCGUUGAAGCCGCGAGACACGGAUCAGAGUGCCAAGUGGGCCAUUUUUGGUAAGCAGAACUGGCGCUGUGGGAUGAACCAAACGCCGAGUUAAAGCGCCUAAAUCGACGCUUAUGGGAUACCAUGAAAGGCGUUGGUAACUUAAGACAGCAGGACGGUGGCCAUGGAAGUC